Molecule: long non-coding RNA, 795 nt
Organism: Gadus morhua (Atlantic cod)
Lineage: Eukaryota; Metazoa; Chordata; Actinopteri; Gadiformes; Gadidae
Exons: 2
Source: RefSeq, a predicted model, not a curated record
UGUUUGGAACGGCCCGCAGCCUAUUCUGGGAUGUUUGACACCAAUUGCAUCAGAGCCGGUUCUGCUGGCACGAUGCCCCUUCCUGGAUCAGAGUGCGGCUCUGUUUAUCUUCAUAAUGGAGGCGCUGGUGAAUGUGAAUCAGCAUAUGGAGACUCUACAAGGUCAUCAGCAGCCAACGAGAGACCGACAUUGAGCAGAGGGAUUUAUCGCUGGGAAAACCUUGGCUCCGUAUCUAUUCGCCUAAACUCUGGAACACUGAAAGCAAUUGUUUUCCUUUCCAAACCACGUGCAGCAUGUCAUGAAUGUUUGCGCUGUAGCCUAUUGCGUAUUUCCAUUUCCCCUUUUUAGGACUUUCAUUUCACACUACACCAGUGAGAAGACACGUGCAUCUUUGAAACGGCUUUCACCGCCCAUCGGUCUCUCUAAGAAAACAACACAGCCCCUUUGAUUUCUUUACUUUGUUUUGAUGAAGAAUUCAUUUCUUAAUCGGCGCCGCGGUGGUGCAAUAUUGAUGCCCCCUCUGACCCACUUCGAGGGCUUCUCCACUGAGAAGGCGACCACCAGGACUAGGGCUCUCGGCCCCGCAGCAUGCCUGGGGCCCAGGGAGAUGGGGAGAGCUUUUUCAAAUGUCAGGAGGAGCCAUCUUUUCUCAGAUCUGAAGGACCCCAGCCUCUCCACGAACCCCUGGACCUUUGCCUGAGCGACCGCUGCCAACCUAAACGGCUGCCGUCAGAGGAGGGCAUGGAGGAAUGGGCGAAGAGGCGACGACAUAUUAAAAGGGAAUAUCAAAAUCAA